RNAcentral lists this non-coding RNA (842 nucleotides) under Euwallacea similis. The record is from RNAcentral. Lineage: Eukaryota; Metazoa; Arthropoda; Insecta; Coleoptera; Curculionidae.
AAUAUAUUUAAUAUAAAUUUUCAUUUAAUGGGGGUGAUUGAGCGUGUAUGUUAUAACUUAUAUAUUUAUAAUAAAGUUUUUUUGCUUAGGGGUUUCAGAAAAGCUUGAGUUAAAUGCAAGUGUUGGCGUAAAAUAUAAAUGUCUUAAAUAGUAAUGGGAAUUUGUGGGGGCAGUUUCUAAUUUUAAAUAUUCGGGGGGCCGAGAUAUAGCAGGGUUUAAGAGUAUAAACAAAAUUUGUGCCAGCAGUUGCGGUUAUACAAAUUGUGCAAUGAAAGUUUAUUGGGUGUAGUUAACUUGGGGAGAUUUAAAUUUAAUUUAAUUUUAUUAGGUGAAAUUUUAAGAUUUAGAAAAUUUAUUAUUGUGGGAGUGAGGCUAGUAAAUUUUAAGGAAAGACUAGGAUUAGAUACCCUAUUAUAGAAAUUAGUAUUAUAAACCUAAAUUAUUAGUAGUUAAGUUCUUGAAAAUUAAUAAAAGUGGCGGUAUUCUAGUCUAUUCAGAGGAAUCUGCCCUGUAAUUGAUAUUCCACGAUUUAGUUUACUUGAGUUUUUAGCUUAUAUAUCGCUGUGGUUCGAAUAUUUUUAUUGGAUUUAAAUAUUCAUAAUUUUGAUGGAAAAGAUUUCAAGUCAAGAUGUAGCUUAUAUUUAAGAAGAGGUGGAUUACAUUAUGUGUAUUUGUGGUUACUAGAUUGUGAAGUCUAUUAUAAAAUGGAUUUGAAAGUAAUUUUUAAGGAAGAUUUUUAAAGUGAUUUUAGCUCUAGAAUAUGUACAUAUCGCCCGUCGCUUUCAUUAUAAGGUGGAAUAAGUCGUAACAUAGUAGAUGUACUGGAAAGUGUCUCUAGAAGA